GAUGAACGCUGGCGGCGUGCCUAAUACAUGCAAGUCGAGCGAACAGACGAGGAGCUUGCUCCUCUGACGUUAGCGGCGGACGGGUGAGUAACACGUGGAUAACCUACCUAUAAGACUGGGGUAACUUCGGGAAACCGGAGCUAAUACCGGAUAAUAUAUUGAACCGCAUGGUUCAAUAGUGAAAGACGGCUUUGCUGUCACUUAUAGAUGGAUCCGCGCCGCAUUAGCUAGUUGGUAAGGUAACGGCUUACCAAGGCAACGAUGCGUAGCCGACCUGAGAGGGUGAUCGGCCACACUGGAACUGAGACACGGUCCAGACUCCUACGGGAGGCAGCAGUAGGGAAUCUUCCGCAAUGGGCGAAAGCUUGACGGAGCAACGCCGCGUGAGUGAUGAAGGUCUUCGGAUCGUAAAACUCUGUUAUUAGGGAAGAACAAAUGUGUAAGUAACUAUGCACGUCUUGACGGUACCUAAUCAGAAAGCCACGGCUAACUACGUG
This 497-nucleotide ribosomal RNA is filed under the name uncultured bacterium. Its description in RNAcentral is "partial 16S ribosomal RNA". It matches the Rfam family "Bacterial small subunit ribosomal RNA", at positions 28 to 507 of the family's 1533-position model. The record is from RNAcentral.